CACGUAGGGGGCGAGCGUUGUUCGGAAUCAUUGGGCGUAAAGGGCGUGCAGGCGGCCCUGCAAGUCCGGCGUGAAAUGUCCCGGCUCAACCGGGGAGACGCGCUGGAGACUGUGGGGCUUGAGUACAGGAGGGGAUUCCGGAAUUCCAGGUGUAGGGGUGAAAUCUGUAGAUAUCUGGAGGAACACCAGUGGCGAAGGCGGCCGACUGGACCUGUACUGACGCUGAGGCGCGAAGGCGUGGGGAGCGAACGGGAUUAGAUACCCCCGUAGUCCCUGAG
Molecule: ribosomal RNA, 278 nt
Filed under: uncultured prokaryote
Description: partial 16S ribosomal RNA
Rfam family: Bacterial small subunit ribosomal RNA
Source: RNAcentral